Molecule: transfer RNA, 67 nt
Filed under: Gymnura poecilura (longtail butterfly ray)
Lineage: Eukaryota; Metazoa; Chordata; Chondrichthyes; Myliobatiformes; Gymnuridae
Description: tRNA-Ser
Source: RNAcentral
AAGACAGGUCUAGGACAAGGGAAGCCGCUAACUUCCUCAUCCAUGGUUCGAAUCCACGGCUCUCUUA